UAGCAACAGGAAAUGCUAGUUGGGUUACCACGUGACAACCAUCAGUGUUUUGCCAUCUCCUCCAUUGGUGAAGUUGCUCUGGAAUAGGGUUGAGCCUAUUAUUCUCAUAAAUUUUCCCAUUAUUCUUUCUGGAAAUUCUCAAUAUUUUCCCCCAUUAUUCUUUUCAUUUUAUCCUAUUAUUCUCAAUUUAUUCUCAAUAAUUUUCUCAAACAAUCAAUUUUCACAUAAGAAUUGCAUUCCAGCAGUGUUUUACAAAUAGGUCUUCCAAAAAACACUAGCCAAAAAUUUUUUAAUUUUCUUCUGCAAUCACCAUUGACCUCAACUCCACCCAUUAUUCCACUAUUAUUCCUAUUUCAACCCAAUUAUUCCAGCAUUAUUCCUCAUAUGAGGAAGCCCCUAUUAUUCCUAAAAUUAUGCUGGAAUAAUAGGCUCAUCCCUACUCUGGAAGGAUUUCGAAGGAAAUUUGUGUUGCUCCAGGAUAGCGCUUGCUUAUGAUCUAUAGCCUAUUGCACAAAGAAUUUUUACAGCUACCUACAGCAAGGUUUUUGUCUCUGUAAAGCUAUUUUGCAAACAGUUAUAGGUACAACAAAAUCAAUUUUUUUCGAUACACUUUAGCUCUUGUAACAAACUCAUACUUCAUAGAUUCUAACUCUAACCUGUAUAAUUACUUUCAAAAGUGUAAGCUUUUUCAUAUGAUUAUAAUGGUUUCCAGUUUUACUUUAGCAUGUUUUGAGAAAAGGGAGAAUAAUGAAAUAAAUGGCAUUUUAAGAGUAAAAAUGGGCUGUAUCAUUAAAACUAUAACAUUUUCUGUACAAUAGAUAACAGUAGUGUUGAGAGGAAACAUCAGGCUUCUUGAUGCAUCAGUUUCACUUAAAUGAGAAGUUGAGAACAGUCCUUCGCCAGAUAUUGCAGUCGCGACGCCAACGGUAAGCUCACGUGAAUUUUAUUUUCCAAGUGACGUCAUAAUGGCUGCCAAGUGAUGGAUAAAGCUGUGUUUAGUUUUGUGCAGUUUACAAGAUGGUGGGUAGUCUAUAGCUCUAAGAAGCAAACUCAAACUUGAAGCAAAAAGAUUCCACACUCAGGAUCAUUAAUCAAGUCAUUUUACCUCAAUAGAAUUGUUUGAAAUCCUUUUAGAGCUAGAUUUUAUACUUGUCAUUAUAGUCAUAUUAUGUGCCAUUGACUUUCAGAGACCACAGCAUCCUUAUUUCUUGCUAGAACAACUGUAAACUUCUGGAGUAUAUUCUUCUAGCUACUAUCUUGUUGUAAGCAAAUGGACAAGAAGCUGGAGUUGUCUAGAACACUGUACGCAUCCGGUAAAGUCAAGGACAUCAGUUGCUUGCAGUUCUGUUAUAGUUUAUUUAAACUGGUUGAUGUUUUUCAUGGUGAUAAAUAUGUAUGUUCUGUGUAUUGUAUGCAAAUUUCAUAGUAAAACUAUUAAAUGAAAAAUAAA
Molecule: long non-coding RNA, 1450 nt
Organism: Amphimedon queenslandica
Lineage: Eukaryota; Metazoa; Porifera; Demospongiae; Haplosclerida; Niphatidae
Exons: 2
Source: RefSeq, a predicted model, not a curated record